This 535-nucleotide long non-coding RNA is filed under the name Linum usitatissimum (flax). Its description in RNAcentral is "long non-coding RNA (LUSI_LNC001826)". Lineage: Eukaryota; Viridiplantae; Streptophyta; Magnoliopsida; Malpighiales; Linaceae. The record is from RNAcentral.
GGUUUGGAGUUUGGGUUUGAUAUUUUGAUACUUUUCCUUCUUUGUCAUGUUCCUCUCUUUGUUAAGAUAUUAGCUUUUUCUUUCUUUCAUUUGCAGUCUAUUUUUUUUUUCUUGGGAGGGUUAGCUGUGUGUGUUGUCGUUAUUGUUGUUUGCUGUUGCUGACUUGUCGGCAGAUAGCAACAACCAUCAGUGGGAGAAUGGACCCCUUGGGCUGGGUUUUGGUUUAUUUGUCUCUGUGGUUCUUUCUUACUUCUAAAUUCUAAUUUGUAGAACAAUGAAGGAGGACUAUGAUAGUUGUGAUAAUCUUAACUAUCAGUUUGAAUUUUUCUGCAUUUGUUUAUCUCUGUGAUUUUAUUUUAGUGAGUGGAAUGUCUGUGUAUUUGCCACUAAGCUUGGUGGGUUAAGUGCAGAAACUGAUGCUCUAGCUGAUGAGUUCAGUCAUUGUCUUGAUUCUUAGCCAUGGUGCCAUGUGAUUAUCUCUCUCAGUAGCUGUAUAGUGGGGACUUCUUUUUUUGUCAGAAUUAUUUGUGGUCCA